Myzus persicae (green peach aphid) is the source of this 202-nucleotide long non-coding RNA. RefSeq lists it as uncharacterized. The record is from RefSeq and is a predicted model, not a curated record. The transcript has 2 exons. NCBI's taxonomy places the organism in Eukaryota, Metazoa, Arthropoda, Insecta, Hemiptera, Aphididae.
AAUUUAACUUCAUCAACAUUUUGUUAUUUGCUUUGGAGAGGUCAACAACCACAAAUACCAUAUUGAUUGUACCUUUUAUAAUGGAUUGAUCGUUAUUGAACCGUCUAGGAUGCAAUUGACGGCUAUCCAGCGACAACACCGAGAACACGACACCCAUUCUACAAAUGAAUCAUCCGGUUGACAAUGGUGCCUGUCUGAGUGC